Molecule: ribosomal RNA, 157 nt
Filed under: Entoleuca mammata
Lineage: Eukaryota; Fungi; Ascomycota; Sordariomycetes; Xylariales; Xylariaceae
Description: 5.8S ribosomal RNA
Rfam family: 5.8S ribosomal RNA
About the family: 5.8S ribosomal RNA (5.8S rRNA) is a component of the large subunit of the eukaryotic ribosome. It is transcribed by RNA polymerase I as part of the 45S precursor that also contains 18S and 28S rRNA. Functionally, it is thought that 5.8S rRNA may be involved in ribosome translocation.
Source: RNAcentral
AACUUCCAACAACGGAUCUCUUGGCUCUGGCAUCAAUGAAAAACACUACGAAAUGCGAUAUGUAGUGUGAAUUGCAAAAUUCACUGAAUCAUCGAAUCUUUGAACGCACAUUGCGCCCGCUAUUAUUCUAUCGGGCAUGCCUGUUCAAUCGUCAUUU